This 276-nucleotide ribosomal RNA is filed under the name uncultured prokaryote. Its description in RNAcentral is "partial 16S ribosomal RNA". It matches the Rfam family "Bacterial small subunit ribosomal RNA", at positions 524 to 800 of the family's 1533-position model. The record is from RNAcentral.
UACGUAGGGGCAAGCGUUAUCCGGAUUUAUUGGGUUUAAAGGGUGCGCAGGCGGGGGAUUAAGUCGGCGGUGAAAUUUUGCAGCUCAACUGUAAAAGUGCCUUCGAAACUGGUUUCCUUGAGUGUAGAUGAAGUAGGCGGAAUUUGUGGUGUAGCGGUGAAAUGCAUAGAUAUCACGAGGAACUCCGAUUGCGCAGGCAGCUUACUAAACUACUACUGACGCUCAGGCACGAAGGCGUGGGGAUCAAACAGGAUUAGAUACCCUUGUAGUCCCUGA